This 69-nucleotide transfer RNA is filed under the name Leucoraja ocellata (winter skate). Its description in RNAcentral is "tRNA-Trp". It matches the Rfam family "tRNA". Rfam says of the family: Transfer RNA (tRNA) molecules are approximately 80 nucleotides in length. Their secondary structure includes four short double-helical elements and three loops (D, anti-codon, and T loops). The record is from RNAcentral. RNAcentral also lists the same sequence under 5 other names. Lineage: Eukaryota; Metazoa; Chordata; Chondrichthyes; Rajiformes; Rajidae.
AGAAAUUUAGGUUAAUAAGACCAAAAGCCUUCAAAGCUUUCAGUAAGAGUUCAAAUCUCUUAACUUCUG